GCUCAAAACCCAUCCAGUUUCACGCUCAAAACCUCCAAACUUCCUUUCACACUUUCACACUCAAAACCUCCAAACUUCCUUUCACACUUUCACACUUUCACAUUCAUCUCCAAACUUCCUUUCACACUUUCACAUUCAUCUCCAAACUUCAUCCCUUUCACCCCCAAAACCUUCCAACUUCCUUUACUACUACGAUUGACGAACCGAAACCCUAAAUCCCAACUUCCUUUACUUUUUCUCUUUCACGAUUGAGGAUUUUCACUUCCUACGAGCGUUCUCUGAAUUAGCUCUAUAGUGGGGUAUAUUUUUUUCUCAUUUUAUGGAUUCUUCUCGUUCAACAUUAUCCAGCCUUCUUAUUCUAUCUCAUUAUUUAUGAUUUAGGGCUCUUAAAUUGAAUUUUUUCUUUUCGUUUUUCCUUUUCUACUUUCUUUCACUAUGCCACUAGAGGCUUUGUUUCAUCAGGAUUUGGUUUGGGACUUUGUUUCAAUAUUUGAUACUUCGUUCAAGUUUGAUUUUUGAAAUAAGUAAUGGUAGUGUGGAGUAAAAAAGUAAAAAUCUACAACUUUAGAAUAUUACUACUUAGUUAGGAAGAAAGACAUAUAAAAGCGUAGAUAUAUUGAUAUGGAAACAAACCAUACAAUAAUUAAAAGCUAUAUAGACUGUGUUGCACAAACAAGGGUUUGUAUUUGGUUGUGUAGUUUGCAGAACACAACACAGGAAGACAUCAAAAUAAUAUCACAAAAUGACACAUCAUUUUUGGGUGCAUCUGGUUUGUUUUUUUAUUUGAUUUUAUUGAUUGUGAUAGUGUUGCUCUGAAAGAUUGUUUGAUCUUUGAAGCAUUUUCUGUUCUAAUUAUGUGGAUCCCUUCAUAAAUAUAUCAAGUAAUGAUUGGCUUGCAGUUGAAAGCAUCAACCAGUUUGUGAAUAAUCAAUUGAGAGUUUGAGACCCCAUCUCAUUCAGCUAUUAUUUCUGAUUUUACUAACAACUCAUAUUAUUAGUUCUCUGAAUUAGCUCUGUAGUAAGGUAUCCUUUUUCUCAUUUUAGAAGAGGUCAUGGUACAUAUAGCUUGGCUUUGCAAACUGUGGUGAUGUAUUUUCCAUUAGUCUUGGUUUCACCAUAAGCCUUAAUAAUUUUCUUUCCAACUUUGCAUUUAACCUCCACAACAGCACCUGCUCCAUAUGAAAAUAAGUGCAAUUCAUUAAUCAUUUAUGUUACCAUAAACUAUAUUAUAUUGGGCAGCAUACUAAGAUAAAAGAUGAGUUAAACUAUCCUUAUUAUAUAGUAACAUAUAAUAUAAGCCAGCAUUACGGAAAUAAUAAGCAGUAAAAUGAAACUACUUAGAAUAACUACAUGUCUAGAAGACUAGAAGUGUGUCUACAUUUUUUAGAUUCAAGAUGUUGUAUUUGUUUUUUCUUUUUAAUCUAUUUCCUUUGGAUCGUGGAGUUUGCAUAAUCUGGAAUGCUAUAUUAUUCGAAGUGAAAAGUUUUUUUAAGAAUGAGUUGUUCUUUGAUUUUUGAUUUGUUUCUGAAUAUAACUAGUUUGUAUAACUAUAUACAUGUGGUAGAUAGUAGUAAUUGUUAUUUUAUCUCAUUUUGGUUUUAAAGGUGUUGAAGAAGUAGGCACUGGAGUUUGAUAAUGAUGUUGGAUUUGCUUUUGCUAUUACUUUUUUCUUGUUGUUUCUUUAUUAAGAUUACAAUGUAGCAAAUAAAAUUCUUUGAUGGAUUUUUCAUAAUCUGGAACCGCUUGUAAAUAGAUGCAGCAGUGAAACUAUCUGUGUUAUUGCCUUGUUGUUCUGAACUGGAAAGAAUAAAAUGGGAU
RNAcentral lists this long non-coding RNA (1818 nucleotides) under Lupinus angustifolius (narrow-leaved blue lupine). Its description in RNAcentral is "long non-coding RNA (LANG_LNC000035)". Lineage: Eukaryota; Viridiplantae; Streptophyta; Magnoliopsida; Fabales; Fabaceae. The record is from RNAcentral.